CGUCUGUUUACGUAGCAACGGUCCGGAAGAUGUCGCUCAGCCCAGUCCUAAAAAACUUCCGCCUUAAGUUGUAAAGAAAACACAGCAGCUAAAAGGCAAUCGACGGCGGAACCAACCCAUUUAAGAAGCCAGACCAAAGGCUCUUGUCACUCUGGAGCUCGUGUGGUUUUCAGAGUGUGUGUGAGUGUGUGUGAGUGGGUGAGUGUAUGUGUGAGUGUGUGUGAGCUUCAAUUUCCUCCUCACCUUUUCACCAAGAGCUGCUCCUCCCUGGAGGAUGACAAUGGAGGAGAUGAAGAAUGAAGCGGAGACAAACUCCAUGGUAUCCAUGACGCUGUACGCCGUGAUGUACCCCGUUUUCAACGAGCUGGAGAGGAUCAACCUAUCAGCAGCUCAGACGC
Morone saxatilis (striped sea-bass) is the source of this 398-nucleotide long non-coding RNA. RefSeq lists it as uncharacterized. The record is from RefSeq and is a predicted model, not a curated record. NCBI's taxonomy places the organism in Eukaryota, Metazoa, Chordata, Actinopteri, Moronidae. The transcript is spliced from 3 exons.